UACGUAGGGAGCAAGCGUUGUCCGGAAUCAUUGGGCGUAAAGCGCGCGUAGGCGGCCUCGUAAGUCCGUUGUGAAAGUCAAAGGCUCAACCUUUGAAAGCCGAUGGAUACUGUGAGGCUAGAGUCCGGAAGAGGCGAGUGGAAUUCCUGGUGUAGCGGUGGAAUGCGCAGAUAUCAGGAAGAACACCAAUGGCGAAAGCAGCUUUCUGGGACGGUACUGACGCUGAGACGCGAAAGCGUGGGGAGCGAACAGG
This 253-nucleotide ribosomal RNA is filed under the name uncultured bacterium. Its description in RNAcentral is "partial 16S ribosomal RNA". It matches the Rfam family "Bacterial small subunit ribosomal RNA", at positions 524 to 776 of the family's 1533-position model. The record is from RNAcentral.